GUAAACGAUGGAGACUAGGUGUAGGGAGUAUUAACCUCUCUGUGCCGUAGCUAACGCGUUAAGUCUCCCGCCUGGGGAUUACGACCGCAAGGUUAAAACUCAAAGGAAUUGACGGGUCCCCGCACAAGCAGCGGAGCGUGUGGUUUAAUUCGAGGCUACACGAAGAACCUUACCAGGGUUUGACAUAUACGUGGUAGGAAUCCGAAAGGUGACCGACCCUUCGGGGAGCGUAUACAGGUGUUGCAUGGCUGUCGUCAGCUCGUGCCGUGAGGUGUCAGGUUAAGUCCCUUGAACGAGCGCAACCCUUACCGUUAGUUACAAGUGUCUAGCGGGACUGCCCGGCUCAACUGGGAGGAAGGUGGGGACGACGUCAAGUCAGCAUGGCCUUUAUAUCCCUGGG
RNAcentral lists this ribosomal RNA (400 nucleotides) under uncultured bacterium. Its description in RNAcentral is "bacterial SSU rRNA". It matches the Rfam family "Bacterial small subunit ribosomal RNA", at positions 802 to 1213 of the family's 1533-position model. The record is from RNAcentral.